UGAUCGGGGUUGCGGACAGUGUCUGGUGGGUAGUUUGACUGGGGCGGUCUCCUCCUAAAGAGUAACGGAGGAGCACGAAGGUUGGCUAAUCCUGGUCGGACAUCAGGAGGUUAGUGCAAUGGCAUAAGCCAGCUUGACUGCGAGCGUGACGGCGCGAGCAGGUGCGAAAGCAGGUCAUAGUGAUCCGGUGGUUCUGAAUGGAAGGGCCAUCGCUCAACGGAUAAAAGGUACUCCGGGGAUAACAGGCUGAUACCGCCCAAGAGUUCAUAUCGACGGCGGUGUUUGGCACCUCGAUGUCGGCUCAUCACAUCCUGGGGCUGAAGUAGGUCCCAAGGGUAUGGCUGUUCGCCAUUUAAAGUGGUACGCGAGCUGGGUUUAGAACGUCGUGAGACAGUUCGGUCCCUAUCUGCCGUGGGCGCUGGAGAACUGAGGGGGGCUGCUCCUAGUACGAGAGGACCGGAGUGGACGCAUCACUGGUGUUCGGGUUGUCAUGCCAAUGGCACUGCCCGGUAGCUAAAUGCGGAAGAGAUAAGUGCUGAAAGCAUCUAAGCACGAAACUUGCCCCGAGAUGAGUUCUCCCUGAGACUUAGAGUCUCCUGAAGGAACGUUGAAGACGACGACGUUGAUAGGCCGGGUGUGUAAGCGCAGCGAUGCGUUGAGCUAACCGGUACUAAUGAACCGUGAGGCUUAACCUU
RNAcentral lists this ribosomal RNA (695 nucleotides) under Escherichia coli. RNAcentral describes it as "partial 23S ribosomal RNA". It matches the Rfam family "Bacterial large subunit ribosomal RNA", at positions 2236 to 2925 of the family's 2925-position model. The record is from RNAcentral. Lineage: Bacteria; Pseudomonadati; Pseudomonadota; Gammaproteobacteria; Enterobacterales; Enterobacteriaceae.